Molecule: microRNA precursor, 103 nt
Filed under: Marmota monax (woodchuck)
Lineage: Eukaryota; Metazoa; Chordata; Mammalia; Rodentia; Sciuridae
Source: RNAcentral
AGUGGGAUAGCUGGGUCAAAUGGUGGAUCCCUUCUUAGUUUUCUGAGGAAUCUCCACACUGCUUUCCAGAGUGGUUAUGCCAAUUUGCAGUCCCACCAGCAAU